GGGGAUGGGGGGGGGGGGGGAAAUGUGGAUUCUUUUAAGAAUGUGGAUAUUUGGGUCAUCUUUGGCGCCCCCUAGAACGUAAACCGUGGGGUGCAGCGUCAUGAUUUUUACAACUUUGAAUGGCCAUGGGGUGUAGAUUGGCCUGAGCAAAUUUGGUGUCAGUGGGACGAAAGCCUUAGGAGGAGUUAGCCACAUUCCAAUGUGUGCGAAUCGGCAAAAAAUGCAAAAUAGCCCUUUAACCGUACAUUUUACAGAUACGCGCGCAUUGACUUUUUCGUAGAUCUUAUUGAGAUACAUGUGAUUCUCAAAUUUUGUGUCAAUAUGACAAAGCGUACAGGUAUGACAGUCAACAAUGUGUAUUCUCACCUUAUGGGACAAGAAAAAAUGGACUUUUUUCUCCUGCCAUGGGGGGGCGCUCUUUUGGGGAGUAAAAAUUCCUUCACAAAUGUGUUGAUGGCUGGACAUUGCAUCAUCCUAGAAAACUUGGAGGCCAGUGAGGACAAAAAUAAAAAGUUAUAAGACUUUUAAAUAUGUGGAUUUUAGGGUUAUCUUUGGCGCCCCCUAGAACGUAAACCGUGGGGUGCAGCGUCAUGAUUUGAAUAACUUUGAAUGGCCAUGGGGUGUAGAUUGGCCUGAGCAAAUGUGGUGCCAGUGGAACGAAAGCCUUAGGAGGAGUUAGCCACAUUCCACUGUGUGCGGAUCGGCAAAAAAUGCGGAAUAACCCUUUAACCGUACAUUUGACAGAUACGCACGCAUUGACUUUUUCGUAGAUCUUAUUAAGAUACAUGUGUGUGUCAAUUUUUGUGUCAUUUUGACAAAGCGUACAGGCGUGACACUCAACAAUGUGUAUUUUCACCUUAGGGGACAAGAAAAAAUGGACUUUUUUCUCCUGCCAUGGGGGGGCGCUCUUUUGGGGAGUAAAAAUUCCUUCACAAAUGUGUUGAUGGCUGGACAUUGCAUCAUCCUAAAAAACUUGGAGGCCGGUGAGGGCAAAAAUAAAAAGUUAUAAGACUUUUAAAUAUGUGGAUUUUAGGGUUAUCUUUGGCGCCACCUAGAACCUAAACCGUGGGGUGCAGCGUCAUGAUUUGAAUAACUUUUAAUGGCCAUGGGGUGUAGAUUGGCCUGAGCAAAUGUGGUGCCGGUGGAACGAAAGCCUUCGGAGGAGUUAGCGAAAUUCCAAUGUGUGCGGAUCGGCAAAAAAUGCGAAAUAACCCUUUAACCGUAAAUUUGACAGAUACGCCCGCACUGACUUUUUUGUAGAUCUUAUUGAGAUACAUGUGUGUGUCAAUUUUUGUGUCAUUUUGACAAAGCGUACAGGCGUGACAGUCAAUAGUGUGAAUUUUCACCUUAGGGGGCGCUAUGGAGCCAUUUUGCAUUUUAUUGUUUGGGCGACUUCAGAAUAUCAAAUUUUUCACCAGGCCCGGUCGUCCUGCCAAAUUUCAUGAGUUUUCGCCAGUGGGAAGUGGGCCAUUUUCCAGUUCAAAGGGGAGGAAAAAUAAUAACUAGGACCCCGUUGGGGCACUGGCGGGCCCAACCGUGUCGCGUCCCCCCCCCCCGUCCCCCCCCCCCCCCAACGUGCUGCCUUCCCGUCCCAUUUGUGUCCUCUGGCCAUCGCCCUCUCUGGUAACGCCCAUCACUGCAAAGACCCUUUUCCUUCAUCGGCGUUUGCUGUUCUUCCUGCCAGUGCGUGUUGCUUUCACUUACACUUGCCACAGCCAGCCUCGUGAGUGCCUAGCCUAUUGGAUAUCACUGUCACCUACACAGGACAGUCAUUACCUUUCUAUUAAUACUUUGUGUUUUAAUUUCACAUUAAUUUCCAUAUUGUAUAAACGACUGGAAAAAACUUGAGCCCCUGCCCCUGUAUAAUCAUGUGCAUGUCUCUGUUCUAGCUCCAAGGUGAAUCUUCACUGCUCAUGUUCUCCUCAGAAGCACUCACCUCACUCCCCUCAGGUUACUGUACACAUGCACCAACUGCCUGCUUCAGGUUUGGAUGGAGCUUCAUGGUUGUCUUUUGGAGAAAUGACCAGUCAAGUUGUGUUUGAAAUUUGAUUUUUUUCAGGGGCAAAAGGAGCCUCUGCAUUCUUGUCAAAUAUGUAAAUAGCAUGUUU
This 2108-nucleotide long non-coding RNA is filed under the name Xyrichtys novacula (pearly razorfish). The record is from RNAcentral. Lineage: Eukaryota; Metazoa; Chordata; Actinopteri; Labriformes; Labridae.